This 1334-nucleotide ribosomal RNA is filed under the name uncultured Ralstonia sp. Its description in RNAcentral is "16S ribosomal RNA". It matches the Rfam family "Bacterial small subunit ribosomal RNA", at positions 90 to 1426 of the family's 1533-position model. The record is from RNAcentral. Lineage: Bacteria; Pseudomonadati; Pseudomonadota; Betaproteobacteria; Burkholderiales; Burkholderiaceae.
GGCGAGUGGCGAACGGGUGAGUAAUACAUCGGAACGUGCCCUGUAGUGGGGGAUAACUAGUCGAAAGAUUAGCUAAUACCGCAUACGACCUGAGGGUGAAAGUGGGGGACCGCAAGGCCUCAUGCUAUAGGAGCGGCCGAUGUCUGAUUAGCUAGUUGGUGGGGUAAAGGCCCACCAAGGCGACGAUCAGUAGCUGGUCUGAGAGGACGAUCAGCCACACUGGGACUGAGACACGGCCCAGACUCCUACGGGAGGCAGCAGUGGGGAAUUUUGGACAAUGGGCGAAAGCCUGAUCCAGCAAUGCCGCGUGUGUGAAGAAGGCCUUCGGGUUGUAAAGCACUUUUGUCCGGAAAGAAAUGGCUCUGGUUAAUACCUGGGGUCGAUGACGGUACCGGAAGAAUAAGGACCGGCUAACUACGUGCCAGCAGCCGCGGUAAUACGUAGGGUCCAAGCGUUAAUCGGAAUUACUGGGCGUAAAGCGUGCGCAGGCGGUUGUGCAAGACCGAUGUGAAAUCCCCGAGCUUAACUUGGGAAUUGCAUUGGUGACUGCACGGCUAGAGUGUGUCAGAGGGGGGUAGAAUUCCACGUGUAGCAGUGAAAUGCGUAGAGAUGUGGAGGAAUACCGAUGGCGAAGGCAGCCCCCUGGGAUAACACUGACGCUCAUGCACGAAAGCGUGGGGAGCAAACAGGAUUAGAUACCCUGGUAGUCCACGCCCUAAACGAUGUCAACUAGUUGUUGGGGAUUCAUUUCCUUAGUAACGUAGCUAACGCGUGAAGUUGACCGCCUGGGGAGUACGGUCGCAAGAUUAAAACUCAAAGGAAUUGACGGGGACCCGCACAAGCGGUGGAUGAUGUGGAUUAAUUCGAUGCAACGCGAAAAACCUUACCUACCCUUGACAUGCCACUAACGAAGCAGAGAUGCAUUAGGUGCUCGAAAGAGAAAGUGGACACAGGUGCUGCAUGGCUGUCGUCAGCUCGUGUCGUGAGAUGUUGGGUUAAGUCCCGCAACGAGCGCAACCCUUGUCUCUAGUUGCUACGAAAGGGCACUCUAGAGAGACUGCCGGUGACAAACCGGAGGAAGGUGGGGAUGACGUCAAGUCCUCAUGGCCCUUAUGGGUAGGGCUUCACACGUCAUACAAUGGUGCAUACAGAGGGUUGCCAAGCCGCGAGGUGGAGCUAAUCCCAGAAAAUGCAUCGUAGUCCGGAUCGUAGUCUGCAACUCGACUACGUGAAGCUGGAAUCGCUAGUAAUCGCGGAUCAGCAUGCCGCGGUGAUACGUUCCCGGGUCUUGUACACACCGCCCGUCACACCAUGGGAGUGGGCUUUACCAGAAG